RNAcentral lists this ribosomal RNA (303 nucleotides) under uncultured bacterium. RNAcentral's name for it is "partial 16S ribosomal RNA". It matches the Rfam family "Bacterial small subunit ribosomal RNA", at positions 507 to 809 of the family's 1533-position model. The record is from RNAcentral.
AGCAGCAGCCGCGGUAAAACAGAGGGUGCGAGCGUUAAUCGGAUUUACUGGGCGUAAAGCGUGCGUAGGCGGCUUCUUAAGUCGGAUGUGAAAUCCCUGAGCUUAACUUAGGAAUUGCAUUCGAUACUGGGAAGCUAGAGUAUGGGAGAGGAUGGUAGAAUUCCAGGUGUAGCGGUGAAAUGCGUAGAGAUCUGGAGGAAUACCGAUGGCGAAGGCAGCCAUCUGGCCUAAUACUGACGCUGAGGUACGAAAGCAUGGGGAGCAAACAGGAUUAGAUACCCGUGUAGUCCCUGUCUCUUAUAA